RNAcentral lists this ribosomal RNA (253 nucleotides) under uncultured bacterium. RNAcentral's name for it is "partial 16S ribosomal RNA". It matches the Rfam family "Bacterial small subunit ribosomal RNA", at positions 524 to 776 of the family's 1533-position model. The record is from RNAcentral.
UACGUAGGGGGCAAGCGUUGUCCGGAAUCAUUGGGCGUAAAGAGCGCGUAGGCGGUCCGGUAAGUCCGCUGUGAAAGUCAAGGGCUCAACCCUUGAAUGCCGGUGGAUACUGUCGGGCUAGAGUCCGGAAGAGGCGAGUGGAACUCCUGGUGUAGCGGUGGAAUGCGCAGAUAUCAGGAAGAACACCAACGGCGAAGGCAGCUCGCUGGGACGGAACUGACGCUGAGGCGCGAAAGCUAGGGGAGCGAACAGG